CGACCGGCGCACGGGUGAGUAACACGUAUGCAACCUGGCCGUGACAGAUGGAUAACCGGGAGAAAUCCCGCCUAAUACAGCACUGACGCCGGGAAGGGACAUCCCUUUCCGGCCAAAGGGGGCGACUCCGGUCACGGAUGGGCAUGCGGCGCAUUAGGUAGUUGGUGGGGCAACGGCCCACCAAGCCGACGAUGCGUAGGGGUUCUGAGAGGAAGGUCCCCCACAUUGGAACUGAGACACGGUCCAAACUCCUACGGAAGGCAGCAG
Molecule: ribosomal RNA, 267 nt
Filed under: uncultured bacterium
Lineage: Bacteria
Description: partial 16S ribosomal RNA
Rfam family: Bacterial small subunit ribosomal RNA
Source: RNAcentral